Molecule: ribosomal RNA, 492 nt
Filed under: uncultured bacterium
Lineage: Bacteria
Description: partial 16S ribosomal RNA
Rfam family: Bacterial small subunit ribosomal RNA
Source: RNAcentral
AGUGAACGCUGGCGGUAGGCCUAACACAUGCAAGUCGAACGGCAGCACAGUAAGAGCUUGCUCUUACGGGUGGCGAGUGGCGGACGGGUGAGGAAUACAUCGGAAUCUACUUUUUCGGGGGGGAUAACGUAGGGAAACUUACGCUAAUACCGCAUACGACCUACGGGUGAAAGCAGGGGAUCUUCGGACCUUGCGCGAUUGCAUGAGCCGAUGUUGGAUUAGCUAGUUGGCGGGGUAAAGGCCCACCAAGGCGACGAUCCGUAGCUGGUCUGAGAGGAUGAUCAGCCACACUGGAACUGAGACACGGUCCAGACUCCUACGGGAGGCAGCAGUGGGGAAUAUUGGACAAUGGGCGCAAGCCUGAUCCAGCCCUACCGCGUGGGUGAAGAAGGCCUUCGGGUUGUAAAGCCCUCUUGUUGGGAAAGAAAAGCAGCAGGUUAAUACCCCGCUGUUCUGACGGUACCCAAAGAAUAAGCACCGGCUAACUUCGUG